This 429-nucleotide ribosomal RNA is filed under the name Actinomycetes bacterium. Its description in RNAcentral is "Actinobacteria bacterium partial 16S ribosomal RNA". It matches the Rfam family "Bacterial small subunit ribosomal RNA", at positions 355 to 776 of the family's 1533-position model. The record is from RNAcentral. Lineage: Bacteria; Bacillati; Actinomycetota; Actinomycetes.
UAGGGAAUCUUCCGCAAUGGGCGAAAGCCUGACGGAGCAACGCCGCGUGAGUGAUGAAGGUCUUCGGAUCGUAAAACUCUGUUAUUAGGGAAGAACAAAUGUGUAAGUAACUAUGAACGUCUUGACGGUAUCUUAUCAGAAAGCCACGGCUAACUACGUGCCAGCAGCCGCGGUAAUACGUAGGUGGCAAGCGUUAUCCGGAAUGAUUUGGCGUAAAGCGCGCGUAGGCGGUUUUUUAAGUCUGAUGUGAAAGCCCACGGCUCAACCGUGGAGGGUCAUUGGAAACUGGAAAACUUGAGUGCAGAAGAGGAAAGUGGAAUUCCAUGUGUAGCGGUGAAAUGCGCAGAGAUAUGGAGGAACACCAGUGGCGAAGGCGACUUUCUGGUCUGUAACUGACGCUGAUGUGCGAAAGCGUGGGGAUCAAACAGG